Olea europaea var. sylvestris is the source of this 331-nucleotide long non-coding RNA. RefSeq lists it as uncharacterized. Lineage: Eukaryota; Viridiplantae; Streptophyta; Magnoliopsida; Lamiales; Oleaceae. The record is from RefSeq and is a predicted model, not a curated record. The transcript is spliced from 3 exons.
ACUUGAUUGUGUGGGUUGUUUCUUUAUUGUUCUUACUGGAGAUUCAUCUGCUGUCUAUCUUUUGAUUUUUCAAUGAAGCAAUUUUAAGACGUAUAGACGAAAAUUCCAGCAAUAAAUCUCGCAGGGGAGGGGACGAAGAAGGGAAUCCCGCUUAUCAAAGAACAAGAUGAAGUUUGAUUUUUGGGUCCAACAUCAAGAAGAGAGAUGGACAAAGAUGAUGAGAAUUAUGAUACAGACAAUGAUUGAGUGUCAAAUAGAGGCAUAAGUGAUGUGUUGAUAGAAGUAGAAUUGAAGACUUAUUUGAUGAGACAAAGAAAAUUUGUAAAUUGUA